GCGGGACCACCUCCGGCUUCGUUGGCACUACCUCCGGCUUUGGUGGAAGCUCACCAGCCAGCACCGGAGGUGGCAGCUCCGGCUUCGGGAGUUCGGGUUGGGGCAGGGGCUGUGGUGGCACCGGCAAUGGCUCCGGCUUCGGCAGGGGUUGUGGUGGCACCGGCAAUGGCUCGGGCUUGGGCAGAGGUUGUGGUGGUACAGGAAGCGGCUCAGGCUUGGGCAGGGGUUGCGGUGGCACCGGCAGUGGCUCCGGCUUCGGCAGGGGCUGUGGUGGCAUCGGCAACGGCUCCGGCUUCGGCAGGGGCUGCGGUGGCAGUGGCAGUGGCUCAGGUUUGGGCAGAGGCUGUGGUGGCACCGGCAGGGGCUCCGGCUUCGGCAGGGGUUGUGGUGGCACCGGCAGUGGCUCGGGUUUAGGUAGGGGCUGCGGUGGCACCGGCAACGGUUCUGGCUUCGGCAGGGGCUGCGGUGGCACCGGCAGUGGCUCCGGCUUCGGCAGGGGCUGUGGUGGCACCGGCAGCGGCUCGGGUUUAGGUAGGGGCUGCGGUGGCACCGGCAGUGGCUCCGGCUUCGGCAGGGGCUGCGGUGGCACCGGCAGCGGCUCGGGUUUGGGCAGGGGCUGCGGUGGCACCGGCAGGGGCUCCGGCUUCGGCAGGGGCUGCGGUGGCACCGGCAGCGGCUCGGGUUUGGGCAGGGGCUGCGGUGGCACCGGCAGCGGCUCAGGGUUUGGCAGGGGCUCAGGAUUCGGUAGGGGCUGUGGUGGCACCGGCAGCGGCUCAGGGUUCGGCAGGGGCUGCGGCGGCACCGGCAAGGGCUCAGGCUUCGGUUCUUCAGGCUUGGGAAGAGGCGGCAGGUCAGGCUUCGGGAGCUCCUGCAUCCGCCGCGCCGCGUUGCUCAUGCCACCGCAUGAGAGCAGCAACGCCAGGACGAGCACGAAGGAGGACAUGGUGUUCGUGGAAGCCAUGGCG
Molecule: long non-coding RNA, 965 nt
Filed under: Setaria italica (foxtail millet)
Lineage: Eukaryota; Viridiplantae; Streptophyta; Magnoliopsida; Poales; Poaceae
Description: long non-coding RNA (SITA_LNC001642)
Source: RNAcentral